Long non-coding RNA from Bubalus bubalis (water buffalo), 124 nucleotides. RefSeq lists it as uncharacterized. The transcript has 4 exons. NCBI's taxonomy places the organism in Eukaryota, Metazoa, Chordata, Mammalia, Artiodactyla, Bovidae. The record is from RefSeq and is a predicted model, not a curated record.
CCAGCAUCUGGAACGAACUUUUCCUGGAAUAUGAGCUGCCUUGGAGAACAGAUGAACUUAGAGAUGCUUAACUCUGAGCAGCCUUAUCAGAAUCUGAAACCUCUGCCAGAUGGAAGAAGUGCAC